AUUGCGACUAGGGGCAUUAUAGGAGUGGCUGCUAUGUCACAUGUGUAUCAGUAGGUGGCAGAGAGGAGAGAAGAUAUGUUAUGCUCAGUGUUCUGAUUUGUGAACAUCUGAAUAACUAAUUGGCUAAUAAU
Molecule: small nucleolar RNA, 131 nt
Organism: Arvicanthis niloticus (Nile rat)
Lineage: Eukaryota; Metazoa; Chordata; Mammalia; Rodentia; Muridae
Product: small nucleolar RNA SNORA17
Source: RefSeq, a predicted model, not a curated record